AGCAGACCAAGUAUGGCCUUUCUUGGAGGACUUUUGCAAUAUACAUCAGUGGUUUCCGAAUGUUGAAACUUCUUACCAAGUCCAGGGUGAGCUAGGCAAGCCUGGCCUCAUCAGAUACUGCGCUUCCAAGCCACAACCAUCCUCCGACGGCACCGGUGGGAACAUCGUCAACUGGGCUAAAGAGAAGCUCAUCAUGAUAAAU
RNAcentral lists this unclassified non-coding RNA (202 nucleotides) under Hevea brasiliensis (rubber tree). Lineage: Eukaryota; Viridiplantae; Streptophyta; Magnoliopsida; Malpighiales; Euphorbiaceae. The record is from RNAcentral.